GUGUACACUUUUUUGGCAAUCCCCUUCGCGGGCAGCGUGGCUUCUAAGGCACGUUUCUUGCAACCGAAACCGGUGACGUCACGGCGCGAGUUGGUGGCGAAGCGGGCGGACGCGUGUCUGCAGUCUAGGCCGGCGCCCGACGGAGUGAUCUCCACUGGCAACACCACCGAGGACUGCCUGCAAUUGAACGUGUGGACGCCAGUCGACCCAAGCCAGCGCUCGGCCUACAUCACUGAGAAUCAGUUUUACCCACUGACAAUGCACAACUGUGAUGCUAAAUGCACGGCCACCCCCUCAGUCUUCUGCGAGAUGGCUCAAGAGCAAGGUGCAAAUUAAGGCAUUGACCAUGCCUCAUCUGAAAAAGAAAACAUGCCGACGCAAGAUGGCUCUCAAAAUAAUGCACGUAUUAAAGUUACAUCACAGUGCUUCAGAGGAUUGUGCAGUCGUGAGCCACUAACUACUUUGGCCACAAUGCAAGUGGCCAGUUUUCAUCACAUGCAACCUGGGCAGUCACUCCUGAAAGAACACUGGGCAGUUCAUGCACCCAACAUGAAGCUAAAUAGGUAGCCAGCAACUGGUGCUCUGGGAAAAACUGAGGCAAUUCUUCCAGAAAUACUACCUGGCCAAUCAGUACUACGACAGCAGCAAGUAAAUUAUGUGCAAAGUCCAAAGCAGGACACACAACCACCUGCCAGCACUUUAGGCAAACGUGGACUUAAAAUUGGUACUGGCCAGUCACUGCUAAAGCGCAAGCAAGAACUUUGUGACCUAAUACAAAGGAUGCACAGUCAAUCGUUCCUGGUGGGAUCACAAGAGAGUCCAGCAGCACAAGCAUAGGCCAAGGUCAAUCAUUGUUAAAGUCACGAGCAGAAAGAAAUGCUGAAACAGAGGCAGCAGCUGAUAUAUUGAUCCUGAAAAGGAGGCUCUUUGCAUCACAGCGGAGAGUCAGAGUGUUGGAAACCGAAAACAGGAAUCUCAAAGCAGGUAUUGCAGGCUACCCAGACAGCGACCAGGCACUUUGUCUGCAGAAAGGGACAAUGCUGGGUACAGCAUGGAGCACGGAAACUGUUGUAAAGGCACUCAAACUAAAGCUGUCAUGCCGCUCUCAAGGAUACAACGUGGCCCGUGAACUGGGUAUGCCUCUACCCUCAGAACGAACUCUACAGAGAAAAUUAUAAGGGUUCAAGUUUGCUCCUGGACUGCAGCUUGAAGUGAUAGAUUUGCUGAAAAUUAAGGUGUGUACUGUUCCUGGUUAUUCACUCUCUUCCUAUUACUCACUGUAUUCAUAUAGUCUCGCUAUACCUCUAGCACAUUUUGCUGUUCAAUUGUACAGAUGGCCCAGC
Non-coding RNA from Dermacentor albipictus, 1343 nucleotides. The record is from RefSeq and is a predicted model, not a curated record. NCBI's taxonomy places the organism in Eukaryota, Metazoa, Arthropoda, Arachnida, Ixodida, Ixodidae.